Molecule: ribosomal RNA, 395 nt
Filed under: uncultured bacterium
Lineage: Bacteria
Description: bacterial SSU rRNA
Rfam family: Bacterial small subunit ribosomal RNA
Source: RNAcentral
GCAAUGUCACUGUCGUACGGGUGCGUAACGGGUAUGCAACCUACCUAUCACUGGGGGAUAGCCCGGGGAAACCCGGAUUAAUACCGCAUAACACAGGGGUCCCGCAUGGGUACUUAUUUGUUAAAGAUUUAUCGGUGGUAGAUGGGCAUGCGUUCGAUUAGCUAGUUGGCGGGGUAACGGCCCACCAAGGCGACGAUCGAUAGGGGAGCUGAGAGGUUGAUCCCCCACACGGGCACUGAGAUACGGGCCCGACUCCUACGGGAGGCAGCAGUAGGGAAUAUUGGGCAAUGGAUGGAAGUCUGACCCAGCCAUGCCGCGUGCCGGACGAAGGCCCUCAGGGUUGUAAACGGCUUUUAUUCGGGAAGAAGAGCAGGGAUGCGUCCUUGUGUGACGGU